Molecule: long non-coding RNA, 514 nt
Organism: Populus trichocarpa (black cottonwood)
Lineage: Eukaryota; Viridiplantae; Streptophyta; Magnoliopsida; Malpighiales; Salicaceae
Exons: 2
Source: RefSeq, a predicted model, not a curated record
AUUUAUUAUACAGAGUUCUUGUUUGGCAGGUAUGGACCUUAGUUUUCACCCUCCCUGAAUCCAUGGAGCCAGAACAGAGCUCUUGUAUGGCAGGGUGGUCGCACAAUUCUCGUCUAGCUUGAUUACAUUCCUACACUACGUAUCAUCACACAGGCUGGUACUUUUCUCAGACCUCUCCAUCUUCUUGACUUAUUGUGCUUCCCAAUAUUUCGAUGUCUCGGUUACACAUAGGUUGGUUGCAGAAGGGUGCAAGAUUCAAGAAAACUGUAGUAUAUCUGAAAAUGUAAGGAAAACACUACAUGGCUGGUAAGGGAUGGUGAUUGGUGGAGGCCAGGAAUAGUUCAUCUGCUUCAAACCUUCUGGCUGUUCAUCAACUACAUCCUUGGAUUCUUCUAUGUAUGUCAGAUGGCGAUACCAAAUUAAGGGUUCUAGCUUGCAUGCAGCAUCAAGAUCAGGCCUCUGUUACACAAGCUAUAACUUGUCUCUAAUGAAACAAUGGAUCUCUUGCGUUCAA